This 21-nucleotide unclassified non-coding RNA is filed under the name Dictyostelium discoideum. The record is from RNAcentral. Lineage: Eukaryota; Evosea; Eumycetozoa; Dictyosteliales; Dictyosteliaceae.
UAUACAAGAUUCCGCAAUUUC